Molecule: ribosomal RNA, 791 nt
Filed under: Dolichoris sp. 1233_01
Lineage: Eukaryota; Metazoa; Arthropoda; Insecta; Hymenoptera; Agaonidae
Description: eukaryotic LSU rRNA
Rfam family: Eukaryotic large subunit ribosomal RNA
Source: RNAcentral
GCGUUUCGGCGUAUUGUGUCACGCGUCCUCUUGUUGUGUCCAAUAGCGUUGAUUUGCACUUCUCCCCUAGUAGAACGUCGCGACCCGUUGGGUGUCGGCCUACGGUACGGCACAGGUAGCCUCUAGCGUCGCGUCAUGCGCGUACACUGUAGACCGCCGUGAUACCCGGCCGGCUGCCCGGCGGUAUAAGUCAUCGAACCGAUUGACAAUGGUAACGGGCCGCACAAUAUCGAAUUGUUCAUCCAAUCGUGUUUAGUGCGUUCAGGUUCGUCGGCAGGUCACCCGUGCAUGGAUUUACGAACCUAGUGUCGUAUUCUGAUCGGUUGUGACUGUUAGUCGACGAUGUCCUCGGACGGGCUCUUGCGUCAUACGUUUUUAACGUAUGACGUUUUACCGGUCGGCGACGCUACUGCUUUGGGUACUUUCAGGACCCGUCUUGAAACACGGACCAAGGAGUCUAACAUGUGCGCGAGUCAUUGGGUUAUUGUUAAAUGUGAAUAAGCCUAAAGGCGCAAUGAAAGUGAAGGUCGGACGCAGCGUCGAUCGAGGGAGGAUGGAAUGAGUUCGCUCACCCCCGCACUCCCGGGGCGUCUCUAGGUCGUUUCGACCAUAGGCGCACCCAGAGCGUACACGUUGGGACCCGAAAGAUGGUGAACUAUGCCUGGUCAGGACGAAGUCAGGGGAAACCCUGAUGGAGGUCCGUAGCGAUUCUGACGUGCAAAUCGAUCGUCGGAACUGGGUAUAGGGGCGAAAGACUAAUCGAACCAUCUAGUAGCUGGUUCCCUCCGAAG